This 497-nucleotide ribosomal RNA is filed under the name uncultured bacterium. Its description in RNAcentral is "partial 16S ribosomal RNA". It matches the Rfam family "Bacterial small subunit ribosomal RNA", at positions 28 to 507 of the family's 1533-position model. The record is from RNAcentral.
GAUGAACGCUGGCGGCGUGCCUAAUACAUGCAAGUCGAGCGAACAGACGAGGAGCUUGCUCCUCUCGCGUUAGCGGCGGACGGGUGAGUAACGCGUGGAUAACCUACCUGUAAGACUGGGAUAACUUCUGGAAACGGUAGCUAAUACCGGAUAAUAUAUUGAAUCGCAUGAUUCCAUAGUAAAAGACGGAAUUGCAGUAACUUCAGAAUGGAUCCCCUCCUCUUUGGCUAUUUGGGAAGGUAACGCCUUACAAAGGGAACGAAGCGUAGCCGACCGGAGAGGGUGAUCGGCCACACUGGAACUGAGACACGGCCCAGACUCCUACGGGAGGAGGCAUUAGGGAUUCUUCCGCAAGGGGCGAAAGCUUGACGGACCAACGCCGCGUGAUUGAUGAAGGUUUCCGGACCGUAAAACUCUGUUAUUAGGGAAGAACAAAUGUGUAAGUAACUAUGCACGUCUUGACGGUACCUAAUCAGAAAGCCACGGCUAACUACGUG